GGAAUUGUGGCUCAGCGGUAGAGCGCUUGCCAAGCACAUGUGAGGCCCUGAGUUCAAUCCUCAGCACCA
This is a non-coding RNA of Ictidomys tridecemlineatus (thirteen-lined ground squirrel), 69 nucleotides long. NCBI's taxonomy places the organism in Eukaryota, Metazoa, Chordata, Mammalia, Rodentia, Sciuridae. The record is from Rfam.